CGCUGCUGCUGCAGCAGAGCAAGUACCGAGACUUGCUACUGCCAAUACAUCCACAACAUGCUGCUUCGAGUAUGGAAGAAAUAAUGCUGCUGCAAAUAUAACAUACAUGAAAUAACCCCAUAGCAUACAUGAAUCACCUCAUAGCAGAUCUAUACAGGUGGUGCUGGGGAAGGUGGAGGGGUUCUUAAGCAAUCUGCACCGCUACGGCAAACUCUAGUCAUAUAUUUUAAUGUUGAGCAGCGAGCUCAUUGGCUACCAAUACAGAGAAACCAAUCAGCUGUGCCAUGUGAUAAUGAUGUCAUUACGUCAGACUGAGUUAGACCUAUCGGACUGCGCCAUCAGAGUUUCAUGCCAGAACUCUGUAUUUCUUGGGUAUCUCAACUUUCCUUUUCUAGUGCUUUUCUUCUAGAUCUCUUUACAGUAGUGCAAUGAAAAUAAACUUUUCUUAAUGCUUAUAAAUUUCACUGUAUCUGCAGAAAUGUUUUUAGAAAAUGGUGAAUUAUUUCAUGAAUUUUGUGUUACUGUAAGGAACCAUGAUGUACCAGCUGAUUUGAUAAAUAUCCUUUUAAAAGUAAAUGGCAUUUAUGUUUGCAAAACAAGUUAGACUUACCACAGUUACCACAUGUGAUGCCAAUGCAAAGAAUUCAGGGGAUGAUCGGUUGCUAUAUACUUCUCUGAAAGUUUCAUUUAGACUGAAUCUUAAGUGUAUGCUUCCCUCUUCUAUGGUAGGAGGAUCAGUGUUUGUGGCCUCUGUCGUCAGUGUAAUUUCUGAAUCUGUGGUACCAAAGUUGUUCAACGUAGUAUGUCCUGUUGAUAAAGAACCAGUUUCAGGUUGAUUUGUAGGUUUUUGUGUCACUCUUUCGACAGUGGUGGAGACCUCUGAAGUAUGAGAUACUGUUACUGGCUUCAUUGUUGUUGCUGUUGUUGUUGUCAUUGUUUCAGAAUGUAAUACAGGGGAUGAAACCUCAGCUGAUGUAUUCUUGGUUGAUUCUGGUUCACUGCUAACAGUAGCUGCUGUAGUUGUCCCUGAUGCAGUUGCUGCCAAUGCUGAUGUCACUGGUACCCAGGUAGAAGCUUUGGGCGCAGUAGCAGACUCUCUUGUUGUCACUGCAUCUUCAGUUGUAGUUAUUGUUGCUGUGGUGGUCCCUGCUGUAGUUGCUGGUGAUGCUGAUGUCACUCCUGCUGAUGCUGCAGUAGUUGCACUUGUUGUUCGUACCAACAAUGUUGAGGCUUCUGCAGAUGAUUCUGAAGUUCUGGAUGUUCUUGCAGUUGUUGUUUUUACUUCACCUGUCUCAGGUAUAGUUGAUGAUCCCUCUGUUUUUGGGGCUGCUGCUGUAGUGGGAGCAAAUGUUGAUUUUGUUGUACCAGAUGCUGUCAAUGUAGUUAUUCCUGCUGAUGAAGAACCAGUGUCAGCAUGUGUUGUAGGUUCUUGUGUCACUCUUUCGACAGUGGUGGAGACUUCUGAUGUUACUGGCUUCACUGACAUUAAUGUUGUAGUUUCCUUUUGGACUGUUGAGGGUUCUGGUGUGACUUGAGAUGUCACUGGUACCAAGGUUGAAGCUUUGGGUGCAGUAGUAGACUCUGCUAAGCUUGUUGUCGAUGUUGUUGUGACUGUAUCUCUUGCCACAGUAUGUAACACAGUAGAUGGACCCACAGCUAGUGUGUUCUUGGUUGAUUCUGGUUCAUUGCUAACAGUUGCUGCUGUGGUUGAGCCCAGUGCUGUUGCUGGCAAUGCUGAUGUCACUCCUGCUGAUGCUGCAGUAGUUGCACUUGUUGUUCGUACCAAUAAUGUUGGGGCUUCUGCAGAUGAUUCUAUAGUUAUGGAUGUGCUUGCAGUUGUUGACUUUACGUCACCUGUUUUAGGUAAAGAUGAUGAUCCCUCUGUUUUUGGUGCUGCUGUAGAGGGAGCAAAUGUUGAUUUUGUUGUACCAGAUGCUGUCAAUGUAGUUAUUCCUGCUGAUGAAGAACCAGUGUCAGCAUGCGUUGUAGGUUCUUGUGUCACUCUUUCGACGGUGAUGGAGACUUCUGAUGUAUGGGCCACUGUUACUGGCUUCACUGACAUUAAUGUUGUAGUUUCCUUUUGGACUGUUGAGGGUUCUGGUGUGACUUGAGAUGUCACUGGUACCAAGGUUGAAGCUUUGGGUGCAGUAGUAGACUCUGCUAAGCUUGUUGUCGAUGUUGUUGUGACUGUAUCUCCUGCCACAGUAUGUAACACAGUAGAUGGACCCACAGCUAGUGUGUUCUUGGUUGAUUCUGGUUCAUUGCUAACAGUUGCUGCUGUGGUUGAGCCCAGUGCUGUUGCUGGCAAUGCUGAUGUCACUCCUGCUGAUGCUGCAGUAGUUGCACUUGUUGUUCGUACCAAUAAUGUUGGGGCUUCUGCAGAUGAUUCUCUAGUUAUGGAUGUGCUUGCAGUUGUUGACUUUACGUCACCUGUUUUAGGUAAAGAUGAUGAUCCCUCUGUUUUUGGUGCUGCUGUAGUGGGAGCAAAUGUUGAUUUUGUUGUACCAGAUGCUCUCAAUGUAGUCAUUCCUGCUGAUGAAGAACCAGUGUCAGCAUGCGUUGUAGGUUCUUGUGUCACUCUUUCGACGGUGAUGGAGACUUCUGAUGUAUGGGCCACUGUUACUGGCUUCACUGACAUUAAUGUUGUAGUUUCCUUUUGGACUGUUGAGGGUUCUGGUGUGACUUGAGAUGUCACUGGUACCAAGGUUGAAGCUUUGGGUGCAGUAGUAGACUCUGCUAAGCUUGUUGUCGAUGUUGUUGUGACUGUAUCUCCUGCCACAGUAUGUAACACAGUAGAUGGACCCACAGCUAGUGUGUUCUUGGUUGAUUCUGGUUCAUUGCUAACAGUUGCUGCUGUGGUUGAGCC
Molecule: long non-coding RNA, 2866 nt
Organism: Cyprinus carpio carpio
Lineage: Eukaryota; Metazoa; Chordata; Actinopteri; Cypriniformes; Cyprinidae
Source: Ensembl